RNAcentral lists this ribosomal RNA (495 nucleotides) under uncultured bacterium. RNAcentral's name for it is "partial 16S ribosomal RNA". It matches the Rfam family "Bacterial small subunit ribosomal RNA", at positions 28 to 505 of the family's 1533-position model. The record is from RNAcentral.
GAUGAACGCUGGCGGCGUGCCUAAUACAUGCAAGUCGAGCGAACGGACGAGAAGCUUGCUUCUCUGAUGUUAGCGGCGGACGGGUGAGUAACACGUGGAUAACCUACCUAUAAGACUGGGAUAACUUCGGGAAACCGGAGCUAAUACCGGAUAAUAUUUUGAACCGCAUGGUUCAAAAGUGAAAGACGGUCUUGCUGUCACUUAUAGAUGGAUCCGCGCUGCAUUAGCUAGUUGGUAAGGUAACGGCUUACCAAGGCAACGAUGCAUAGCCGACCUGAGAGGGGGAGCGGCCAAGCGGGAACGGAGACACGGUCCGGACCCGAACGGGAGGCAGGAGUAGGGAGUCUUCCGCAAGGGGCGAAAGCCUGACGGAGCAACGCCGCGUGAGUGAUGAAGGUCUUCGGAUCGUAAAACUCUGUUAUUAGGGAAAAACAUAUGUGUAAGUAACUGUGCACAUCUUGACGGUACCUAAUCAGAAAGCCGCGGCUAACUGCG